RNAcentral lists this ribosomal RNA (231 nucleotides) under uncultured bacterium. RNAcentral's name for it is "partial 16S ribosomal RNA". It matches the Rfam family "Bacterial small subunit ribosomal RNA", at positions 57 to 305 of the family's 1533-position model. The record is from RNAcentral.
GCAAGUCGAACGAGAAAGCAGCUUCGGUUGUGAGUAGAGUGGCGCACGGGUGAGUAACGCGUAGGGAUAUACCAAGCAGUGGGGGAUAACUAAUGGAAACGUUAGCUAAAACCGCAUACGCCCUUAGGGGGAAAUAUUUAUAGCUGUUUGAUUAGCCUGCGUUAGAUUAGCUAGUUGGUGAGGUAAAAGCUCACCAAGGCGACGAUCUAUAGCUGGUCUGAGAGGAUGAUC